CCUACGGGAGGCAGCAGUGGGGAAUAUUGCGCAAUGGGCGCAAGCCUGAUCCAGCGACGCCGCGUGAAGGAAGAAGGAUCUCGGUAUGUAAACCUCUAUUAGCAGGGAAGAAAAUGACGGUACUUGACUAAGAAUCCCCGGCUAACUACGUGCCAGCAGCCGCGGUAAUACGUCGGGGGCAAGCGUUAUCCGGAUUUACUGGGUGUAAAGGGAGCGUAGGCGGCUAAUCAAGUCAGAAGUGAAAACCCCGGGCUCAACCUUGGGAGUGCUUGUGAAACUGUGUAGCUAGAGUACAGGAGAGGUAGGCGGAAUUCCUAGUGUAGCGGUGAAAUGCGUAGAUAUUAGGAGGAACACCAGUGGCGAAGGCGGCUUACUGGACUGUAACUGACGUUGAGGCUCGAAAGCGUGGGGAGCAAACAGGAUUAGAUACCCGUGUAGUC
RNAcentral lists this ribosomal RNA (440 nucleotides) under uncultured bacterium. RNAcentral describes it as "partial 16S ribosomal RNA". It matches the Rfam family "Bacterial small subunit ribosomal RNA", at positions 338 to 795 of the family's 1533-position model. The record is from RNAcentral.